This is a long non-coding RNA of Ostrea edulis (European flat oyster), 525 nucleotides long. RefSeq lists it as uncharacterized. Lineage: Eukaryota; Metazoa; Mollusca; Bivalvia; Ostreida; Ostreidae. The record is from RefSeq and is a predicted model, not a curated record. The transcript has 2 exons.
UUGACGAGGAACCUUUGGACAGUUUCGAAAACUGUGAGAAUUCCAUCCUUACUACUUUCCGACGAAAAAAUCCUGAGAAAUAUAAUUUGUUGGAAAAGAGGUUGAGGGAGCCGUUAGCAGAACAAUUUAAAUUACUCCGAGAUUUGAGCGACCGCGUUUCAAAGGACUUGGAACAAAUGAACAUUAUUGUUAAUUAUUUGGAGGACCAGUUGGCUCCCGUGACACCAAAGAAAAAGAGAGUGAAAUUCACAACUUGUGAUAUUGACAUUAACAAUAACGUCAAUACCAUACUAUGAAUUGUGUAAAACUGUAAAUAUCCAUUGAGAUUUGUUUGAUAUUUUAUAUACUGAUUGACAAUUUCUUAUUGUUAAUCAGUUCAUAAUUUAAUAAGAAAAAAAAGUAACGUUAUAGAGGGCAGCUUUUAUUGUACAAGUAGAUGGAAUUUUACUUUUUAUGUCUUCAAAAUAUCCAUAAAUGUGUUCAUAAUUUCGUGGUAAAUAUGAUAAUAAAAUAUUACUUACUCAA